AAGUCGUAACAAGGUUUCCGUAGGUGAACCUGCGGAAGGAUCAUUAUUGAAUAAGCUUGGUUGGGCUGUUGCUGGCUCUUCGGGGCAUGUGCACGCCUGACGGGCCAACCUUUCUUUACCACCUGUGCACUUUUUGUAGACUUGUGGAAUAACCCUCGAGGAAACUCGGUUUUGAGGAUCGCUGUGCGCAAGCCAAGCUUUCCUUAGAUUUUUCCGGUCUAUGUUUUUAAUAUACCCCAUUGCAUGUUAUUUCUAAUAUUUAAUGGGCAUAAAGUGCCUUUAAACCUUAUACAACUUUCAACAACGGAUCUCUUGGCUCUC
This 321-nucleotide unclassified non-coding RNA is filed under the name Tricholoma sp. Its description in RNAcentral is "partial internal transcribed spacer region". The stretch from base 1 to 46 matches the Rfam family "Eukaryotic small subunit ribosomal RNA", at positions 1786 to 1831 of the family's 1831-position model. Lineage: Eukaryota; Fungi; Basidiomycota; Agaricomycetes; Agaricales; Tricholomataceae. The record is from RNAcentral.